GACGAACGCUGGCGGCGUGCUUAACACAUGCAAGUCGAACGAAGAGCGAUGGAAGCUUGCUUCUAUCAAUCUUAGUGGCGAACGGGUGAGUAACGCGUAAUCAACCUGCCCUUCAGAGGGGGACAACAGUUGGAAACGACUGCUAAUACCGCAUACGAUCUGACCUCGGCAUCGAGGAUAGAUGAAAGGUGGCCUCUACAUGUAAGCUAUCACUGAAGGAGGGGAUUGCGUCUGAUUAGCUAGUUGGAGGGGUAACGGCCCUCCAAGGCGAUGAUCAGUAGCCGGUCUGAGAGGAUGAACGGCCACAUUGGGACUGAGACACGGCCCAGACUCCUACGGGAGGCAGCAGUGGGGAAUCUUCCGCAAUGGACGAAAGUCUGACGGAGCAACGCCGCGUGAGUGAUGACGGCCUUCGGGUUGUAAAGCUCUGUUAAUCGGGACGAAAGGCCUUUUUGCGAAUAGUGAGAAGGAUUGACGGUACCGGAAUAGAAAGCCACGGCUAACUACGUG
This 510-nucleotide ribosomal RNA is filed under the name uncultured bacterium. RNAcentral's name for it is "partial 16S ribosomal RNA". It matches the Rfam family "Bacterial small subunit ribosomal RNA", at positions 28 to 507 of the family's 1533-position model. The record is from RNAcentral.